This is a long non-coding RNA of Olea europaea var. sylvestris, 517 nucleotides long. RefSeq lists it as uncharacterized. The record is from RefSeq and is a predicted model, not a curated record. NCBI's taxonomy places the organism in Eukaryota, Viridiplantae, Streptophyta, Magnoliopsida, Lamiales, Oleaceae. The transcript has 2 exons.
AUUGCAUCUCUCUCAAGCACUAGCUCGCAGCAAUUGCUAAAUUUCUACGUUCCAGUGCGAUUUUCUUUGCCCUUUUCUUCUGCUUCCUCAUUAUAGCAUCAAAUGAGAUGCAAACGGGGGAAGCACAAGAUUGUCCAAGGUGGCUCUCAGAGAUAUACGAACAACCUUGCGAUAUUGAAACUUGUUAUGCCUAUUGCCGUGGUGUCGAAGGUGCUUAUUCGGGAGGUUGUGGAACUUUCAACAGCGAAUUAGAAUAUGUUUGCGUAUGUGGUAAUGAAUGCUGACUGAAUUGCAGUUUUUGCUAUCUUUAACUCUUAUCAUAUAAAAAUAAAAGCAACUAUUGCUUCAAUAUUAAUAAAAUUUUCGUGCUCGUUUUUCAUUUUUUUUUUCUCAAAAUUUUUUGGCUGCGUCCAGUGAAAAUUUUUCCCAACACCUUGGUGUCUCCAUUGACUUCAAGUCAAAAUCUUUGAAUGCCAUGUGUAUAUUUGAUAAAUAUGACACAAUCUUUCAUAGUUUA